CGUUUUGUGUGCUGUGACUGCAGGAUAAUUAUUUUAAUAUGCCUGUACUUCAACAACAUAUUUAAAACAACAACAGCCAGUAUGACUGCAAAGAAAAGAAGAAUAGUGGAUGAAAAUAGAAAGUAUAGCGAUGAAUGGGAAGAAAAGUACUUCUUCAUAGUUCAAAAUACAAAAUUAUUAUGUUUAAUUUGCCGAGAGGUCGUUGCUGUAUUUAAGGAAUAUAAUGUUAAGAGGCAUUACGAAACAAAACAUAAGGAUUAUUUGAAGUUCGAUAAAGAAGUGAAACAAUCGAAGCUCAAGGAGUUUAAGUCGCAAUUAAAGGCUCAACAAAAAAUGUUUGGUGCAGCAUUACAGCAACCUUCCAAUAUUGUUAAGGCAAGCUAUUCUGUUUCAUUUGUGAUUG
Non-coding RNA from Zootermopsis nevadensis, 403 nucleotides. NCBI's taxonomy places the organism in Eukaryota, Metazoa, Arthropoda, Insecta, Blattodea, Termopsidae. The record is from RefSeq and is a predicted model, not a curated record.